Long non-coding RNA from Pecten maximus, 405 nucleotides. RefSeq lists it as uncharacterized. NCBI's taxonomy places the organism in Eukaryota, Metazoa, Mollusca, Bivalvia, Pectinida, Pectinidae. The transcript is spliced from 4 exons. The record is from RefSeq and is a predicted model, not a curated record.
CAAACAUCCGGGCCCUGGUAAAAAAAGGAAUGAAUCACAUUACAUUGACAGAUAUUUUGAAAACGAAAUAUACAUCGAGAGGGCAUGUAACGUAAACCGGAACGAGACUCCAAACCGACAACAUCAUCUCAUACAGGUUGAGUUGUGUAACUGGCGACAUUGACGGAGCUUGCAAUAGGACCAUAUAAGCGGCAAACAGGAAAAUAGUAACACAAAGUAUGGCAGAAAACAAGAUCAACGUAGACCUGGAAAAAGCUGCUAAUAACGGUGACAAAGCCACGGUUCGAGCCCUUUUAGACUGCGGUGCAAACCCAAACAAGGUAUUGGCGUUGGAAAAGGCAGCUUGUAACGGUCAUACCGACAUUGUGAAGAUGAUACUUGCAAGAGGCGGGAACACUAAUAAGG